UACGGAGGAUGCGAGCGUUAUCCGGAUUUAUUGGGUUUAAAGGGUGCGUAGGCGGACGCUUAAGUCAGCAGUAAAAUUGCGGGGCUCAACCUCGUCGAGCCGUUGAAACUGGGUGCCUUGAGUGGGCGAGAAGUACGCGGAAUGCGUGGUGUAGCGGUGAAAUGCAUAGAUAUCACGCAGAACUCCGAUUGCGAAGGCAGCGUACCGGCGCCCAACUGACGCUGAAGCACGAAGGCGUGGGUAUCGAACAGG
This 252-nucleotide ribosomal RNA is filed under the name uncultured bacterium. RNAcentral's name for it is "partial 16S ribosomal RNA". It matches the Rfam family "Bacterial small subunit ribosomal RNA", at positions 524 to 776 of the family's 1533-position model. The record is from RNAcentral.